GACAGAGGGUGCAAACGUUGCUCGGAAUCACUGGGCGUAAAGGGCGUGUAGGCGGGAAGGAAAGUCAGAUGUGAAAUCCCCAGGCUCAACCUGGGAACUGCAUUUGAAACUCCCUUUCUUGAGUACCGGAGAGGAAAGUGGAAUUCCUGGUGUAGAGGUGAAAUGCGUAGAGAUCGGAAAGAACACCAACGGCGAAAGCACUCUGCUGGGCCGACACUGACACUGAGAGACGAAAGCUAGGGGAGCGAAUGGG
RNAcentral lists this ribosomal RNA (253 nucleotides) under uncultured bacterium. Its description in RNAcentral is "partial 16S ribosomal RNA". It matches the Rfam family "Bacterial small subunit ribosomal RNA", at positions 524 to 776 of the family's 1533-position model. The record is from RNAcentral.